Molecule: ribosomal RNA, 151 nt
Filed under: Parallelostrombidium conicum
Lineage: Eukaryota; Ciliophora; Spirotrichea; Strombidiidae
Description: 5.8S ribosomal RNA
Rfam family: 5.8S ribosomal RNA
About the family: 5.8S ribosomal RNA (5.8S rRNA) is a component of the large subunit of the eukaryotic ribosome. It is transcribed by RNA polymerase I as part of the 45S precursor that also contains 18S and 28S rRNA. Functionally, it is thought that 5.8S rRNA may be involved in ribosome translocation.
Source: RNAcentral
AAAUUCUCAACGGUGGAUGUCUUGGUUCCCACAACGAUGAAGAACGCAGCGAAGUGCGAUAAGCAGUGCGAAUUGCAGAACCGUGAGUCAUCAGAUUUUUGAACGCAACUGGCGCCGUGCGGGGCAGCUCGCCGGCACGCCUGGUCCAGUG